Molecule: transfer RNA, 52 nt
Filed under: Dysdera calderensis
Lineage: Eukaryota; Metazoa; Arthropoda; Arachnida; Araneae; Dysderidae
Description: tRNA-Leu
Source: RNAcentral
CCCAUAUUGGCAGAUUUCUAUUGCAAAAGAUUUAGAAUCUUUACAACCUAUA